GGAAAGUCGGUGCCAGAGGCGGGGGGAAUACGUGGGUGAGCAGGGUGUGCAGGAUUGACUGGGCGUAAAGGGCGCGGAGGCGGUCGUUCAAGUCGAGUGUGAAAGCCCGCGGCUCAACUGGGGAGGGUCACUCGAGACUGAUCGACUCGAAGGCAGGAUAGGGAAGCGGAAUGCCCGGUGUAGUGGUGAAAUGCGUAGAUAUCGGGAGGAACACCAGUGGCGAAGGCGGCUUCCUGGCCUGUUCUUGACGCUGAGGCGCGAAAGCUAGGGGAGCAAACGGGAUUAGAUACCCCUGUAGUC
This 300-nucleotide ribosomal RNA is filed under the name uncultured Azospirillum sp. RNAcentral describes it as "bacterial SSU rRNA". The stretch from base 52 to 300 matches the Rfam family "Bacterial small subunit ribosomal RNA", at positions 547 to 795 of the family's 1533-position model. The record is from RNAcentral. Lineage: Bacteria; Pseudomonadati; Pseudomonadota; Alphaproteobacteria; Rhodospirillales; Azospirillaceae.